CCAAUAGCGUAUAUUAAAGUUGUUGCAGUUAAAAAGCUCGUAGUUGAAUUUCGGGAUCAAUUUAUCGGUCGUGCCAAUGGUAUGAACUGGUACAAUUGGUUUCUCCCUUCUGACGAAGCAUGAUGUCAUUAAUUUGGUGUCGUGGGGAAUCAGGACUGUUACUUUGAAAAAAUUAGAGUGUUUAAAGCAAGCAUUAGCUUGAAUACAUUAGCAUGGAAUAAUGAAAUAGGACGUUUGAUCCUAUUUCGUUGGUUUCUAGGAUCGACGUAAUGAUUAAUAGGGAUAGUUGGGGGCAUUAGUAUUCAAUUGUCAGAAGUGAAAUUCUUGGAUUUAUUGAAGACUAACUACUGCGAAAGCAUUUGCCAAGGAUGUUUUCAUUAAUCAAGAACGAAAGUUAGGGGAUCGAAGACGAUCAGAUACCGUCGUAGUCUUAACCAUAAACUAUGCCGACUAGGGAUCGGAUGAUGUUAAUUUUUUAAUGACUCAUUCGGCGCCUUACG
This 500-nucleotide ribosomal RNA is filed under the name uncultured Glomeromycotina. RNAcentral's name for it is "partial small subunit ribosomal RNA". It matches the Rfam family "Eukaryotic small subunit ribosomal RNA", at positions 591 to 1092 of the family's 1831-position model. The record is from RNAcentral. Lineage: Eukaryota; Fungi; Glomeromycota.